AUGUCCGGCGCGGGGGAGUACCAGGAGAUGGCCGCGUCGGUGCCGCCGGCGCUCAAGGCCAUCACGCUCACCCACGUCCGCUACCACCGGGGCGACAGGGUCGGCCUCUUCCUCGCGUGGGUCUCCCUAAUCCCCGUCUUCAUCAGCCUCGGCGGCUUCAUCUCCCACUUCAUGUUCCGCCGCGAGCUGCAGGGCAUCUGCUUCGCCUUGGGGCUCCUCGUCUCGCAGGUCCUCAACGAGCUCAUCAAGCACUCCGUCGCGCAGUCCCGCCCGGCCUCGUGCGAGCUGCUCGAGACCUGCGACUCCCACGGCUGGCCGUCCAGCCACGCGCAGUACACCUUCUUCUUCGCCACCUACCUCUCGCUCUUCGUGCUCCGGCGGUCGCCGGCGAGCCGCGUCAUGGCCUCCUUCUCAUGGCCUCUCGCGUUCCUCACCAUGCUCUCCAGGGUGUAUCUCGGCUACCACACCGUCCCGCAGGUUUUCGCGGGAGCAGUAGUCGGCCUUGUAUUUGGUGCUAUCUGGUACUGGUUCGCCAACACCAUUCUUGCUCAAUACUUCCCAAUGAUUGAGGAGAGCGCAAUUGGGAGGUGGUUUUAUAUCAAGGAUACUUCACAUAUUCAAGAUGUGCUCAAGUUUGAGUAUGAUAAUGCAAGGGCAGCAAGGAAGAAAGUCGCUACUGAUUGA
This 684-nucleotide ribosomal RNA is filed under the name Triticum aestivum (bread wheat). RNAcentral describes it as "partial small subunit ribosomal RNA". Lineage: Eukaryota; Viridiplantae; Streptophyta; Magnoliopsida; Poales; Poaceae. The record is from RNAcentral.